CCUAAAGGCGUAAUGAAAGUAAAGAUUGUUCUCYGCAACAAUUGAGGGAGGAUGAGUUGCGUCACGAUGCUACUCCGCACUCCCGGGGCGUCUCGUUCUUAUUGCAAGAAGAGGCGCACCCAGAGCGUACACGUUGGGACCCGAAAGAUGGUGAACUAUGCCUGUCAGGACGAAGUCAGGGGAAACCCUGAUGGAGGUCCGUAGCGAUUCUGACGUGCAAAUCGAUCGUCGGAACUGGGUAUAGGGGCGAAAGACUAAUCGAACCAUCUAGUAGCUGGUUCCCUCCGAAGUUUCCCUCAGGAUAGCUGGCACUCGCGAGUUCUUAUGAACUUAUACGAGUCUCAUCUGGUAAAGCGAAUGAUUAGAGGCCUUGGGGCCGAAACGACCUCAACCUAUUCUCAAACUUUAAAUGGGUGAGAUCUCUGGCUUGCUUGAAUAUAUGAAGCCAUGAGAUUUCGGAUCAGAGUGCCAAGUGG
RNAcentral lists this ribosomal RNA (476 nucleotides) under Eubazus (Allodorus) sp. 4 BJS-2011. RNAcentral describes it as "eukaryotic LSU rRNA". It matches the Rfam family "Eukaryotic large subunit ribosomal RNA", at positions 707 to 1129 of the family's 3401-position model. Lineage: Eukaryota; Metazoa; Arthropoda; Insecta; Hymenoptera; Braconidae. The record is from RNAcentral.